RNAcentral lists this long non-coding RNA (2211 nucleotides) under Homo sapiens (human). RNAcentral's name for it is "HSALNT0314302". Lineage: Eukaryota; Metazoa; Chordata; Mammalia; Primates; Hominidae. The record is from RNAcentral.
GGCCCGGGAGGUGGGGCCGGUUAGGGCGAGGGUCCCCGGGAUCGUAGUGUCAGGCCUUGGGCCAACGUAGGCACUCGCAGUUCCUCCGCCUUCAGGAAGGUCUUUUUGGCAGGGGCCUUACGGGUGCGCGCUUCGGUCCUGGAGGCGUUAUCCUAGCCUCCUCUCCAUCAGCGCCACCCGUCUGGGGCCCGAUAGGAGGGAGCUUUCUGUCUGUCCCCCAGCCUUUGGACUGUCACCAAACAAGCCAUCCGUUCACCAAAUACUUAUUAAGCGCCUACCAUGUGUCUGGCAAGGGAGGUGUAACAGUGAGAAAAACUAGGUGUGGUCCAGGCCCUCCAGGGGCUCAGGGGCUCGUGGAAGAAGUGGACAUUGAAGUACUUACCACACAAAUGAGCAUGAAAGUACAAUAGCAAUAUCUGCCACGAAGGCGAGCAGACAGAGCUAGCAGGGCUUCCAGGAGGAGUUUUGAUCUUGCAGGGACAGGAAGGAGGAGUUAGCUCCUGGGGGGCGGGAUUGGGGGUGGUGGUGAUAUAGACGUGGGGACAGAGUGGAAAACAACAAAAAUAUAAUUAUUUUAGUUCAAAGUUAUUGUGUCUUGAGUUGAAAGGCAGGGCAGUUAGCGACACGGUUCAGAUUUCAGUACUGCCCCUGAAAUCUGAAUUGUGUUCAAAGUCUAAAACGUUUACCUUAGCAAAUCCCUCAUAAAACUCCAUUUGGAAGAGUCCCGAGAGCUAAUUUGUUAAGUAUACUUGCAGAAGGUAGAUGAGGAGACAGAUUAAAUCUUAUUACCUCUUUCAGAUGAGAGGCACUUGAGCCCUGCUCAGCCGUGAGAAUAAGAGGGGGAAUUAAUUCUAAUUGAAUACACUUGUUCUCUCACAGCUGUUGUUCCCCACCAGAACCAAAUGAGCGCAAGAUCUGACAAAGAAAAAAAAAGGUUCAUCUUUUAUUCCGCCAAACACUUUCAUCUAAAUCAAGAGGGUGGGAUGUGGUUAUUGCUGUGUUUUUAGACAGAAUCAACAGUUUCUGGGUCUGAGAUAUUGCAUACACCCUCUCAGUCCCUGUAUCCUCAGAUGGAGUCACCUGAGAAUCCACAGCAAGUCCUAACCGGGGAUGGGUCUGGGUGGUUAAGGAAGGUUGGCCUCAGAACUGGGCCAGGGGCACUGCUUUGCUUUUGCUGUUUUGAUCAGCUCUCUGCCCGCAGGAGACAAGGAAAACCAAUGGGAACAGGUCUAGCUGGAGUACAGUGAUGCAGUCAUAGCCCACUGCAGCCUCAAAAUUCCUGGGCUCAAGCAAUCCACCCACAUCAGCUUCCCAAGUAGUUGGGACUACAGGCCCACACUACUAUACCCAGACCAACAGAUAUUCUAGCAUAUAAGAAAUGUGAUGCUCUCUGUACAUUGAAGAGUUGGUCUAAUAUUUGGCCUGGUGGAUACAGAAAUUGCCUGUCUGCUCCGCUCUGGUUGAAGAAACCAGUCCGACUGUCUCUGAGGCUAUGGAGCAGUCCAUCAAGAAUGAAAGCCCUCGGCUGGCACGUUGGCUCACACCUGUAAUACCAGCGCUUUGGGAGGCUGAGGCAGGUGGAUCACUUGAAGUCACGAAUUCGACACCAGCAUGGCCAACAUGGUGAAACCCUCUCUCUACAGAAAAUAGAAAAAUUAGCUGGGCCUAGUGACGUGUGCCUGUAAUCCCAGCUACUCAGGAGGCUGAGGCAGGAGAAUCACUUGAUCCUGGGAGGCAGAGCUUGCAGUGGGGAGCUGAGAUCACACCACUGCCUUCCAGCCUGGGCGACAGAGUGAGACUCUCUCAAAAAAAAAAAAAAAAAAAAAAAAAAGAAAGUCCUCAUGAUGGCCUCAAGCACAUUGGUCCCUGAAGAGAGUCAAGGAAGGCCCACUUUACUCUGCACUGCAAAGCAGGCAGGUGGACAGGAUGAGAAGUGGAUUCAGUGAGAGGCAUUGACUCAAAGGAUUUUCUGCCUAAUGGUCGGUUCAGCAGAAGAUUAAACUGAGCACAGCAUCCUGUUCCCUCAAACUAUCUGGUUGGAUCUCUCUCUCUCUGCCACCCAGGCCAGAGCGCAGUUGAUGCAGGUCAGGGGAGCCCCCCAGUGGAGCAUAGUGUGUCCAGAACUGGUGGGUUGUUGGUCUCACUGACUUCAAGAAUGAAGCCACGGACCCUCGGGGUGAGCGUCACAGUUCUUAAAGGCGGUGCGUCCGG